UCCCACCUGACCCCAUGCCGAACUCAGAAGUGAAACGCCGUAGCGCCGAUGGUAGUGUGGGGUCUCCUCAUGCGAGAGUAGGGAACUGCCAGGC
This 94-nucleotide ribosomal RNA is filed under the name Escherichia coli. Lineage: Bacteria; Pseudomonadati; Pseudomonadota; Gammaproteobacteria; Enterobacterales; Enterobacteriaceae. The record is from RNAcentral.